CCUUGAAAUUCGGACGGUCAGGCCCCAUACUUGGCGACAUGGUUGUAAUUCCGGCAAUCUGGAAGCGCUUCGGACGCGGGUUCGAUUCCCGCCACCUCCACCUAAGCGCAUUGCGGCAAGACAGCGUCGUGUUCUUAGGUGGGGGUGCACCGGUUUCGACGGGGUGAGUGAAGGAAAGCAGGCAACUCGUCAGGCGAUCGACGUUAAUGAAGCAAAUCUCCAAACGCCAACGAUGAGCGUUUCGCACUGGCCGCUUAAGGCCUAUGCCGAGGCUGCUUGAGCCUUGUUACCAAAGAAAAGCCGGCGGGGACUUCGGUCCCCGUCGUCA
Molecule: transfer-messenger RNA, 328 nt
Filed under: Propionivibrio dicarboxylicus
Lineage: Bacteria; Pseudomonadati; Pseudomonadota; Betaproteobacteria; Rhodocyclales; Rhodocyclaceae
Description: Betaproteobacteria transfer-messenger RNA
Rfam family: Betaproteobacteria transfer-messenger RNA
About the family: Bacterial tmRNA, also known as 10Sa RNA or SsrA, is named for its dual tRNA and mRNA-like properties. Its role is to liberate the mRNA from a stalled ribosome. To accomplish this part of the tmRNA is used as a reading frame that ends in a translation stop signal.
Source: RNAcentral